Molecule: ribosomal RNA, 918 nt
Filed under: uncultured bacterium
Lineage: Bacteria
Description: bacterial SSU rRNA
Rfam family: Bacterial small subunit ribosomal RNA
Source: RNAcentral
GCGGAAGAUCAAGUCAGCGGUAAAAUUGAGAGGCUCAACCUCUUCGAGCCGUUGAAACUGGUUUUCUUGAGUGAGCGAGAAGUAUGCGGAAUGCGUGGUGUAGCGGUGAAAUGCAUAGAUAUCACGCAGAACUCCGAUUGCGAAGGCAGCAUACCGGCGCUCAACUGACGCUCAUGCACGAAAGUGUGGGUAUCGAACAGGAUUAGAUACCCUGGUAGUCCACACAGUAAACGAUGAAUACUAAUUGUUCGGGGAGAAUGAUCCCUGAGUGAUACAGCGAAAGCGUUAAGUAUUCCACCUGGGGAGUACGCCGGCAACGGUGAAACUCAAAGGAAUUGACGGGGGCCCGCACAAGCGGAGGAACAUGUGGUUUAAUUCGAUGAUACGCGAGGAACCUUACCCGGGCUCAAACGACACAGGAAUACUUUUGAAAGGAAGUAGCUUUACGGAGCCUGUGUCGAGGUGCUGCAUGGUUGUCGUCAGCUCGUGCCGUGAGGUGUCGGCUUAAGUGCCAUAACGAGCGCAACCCUUAUCUUCAGUAGCCAGCAGGUAAAGCCGGGCACUCUGGAGAGACUGCCGGGGAUAACCCGGAGGAAGGUGGGGAUGACGUCAAAUCAUCAUGCCCCUUAUGAUUUGGGCUACACACGUGCUACAAUGGCGUAAACAGAGGGAAGCGAGCCCGCGAGGGGGAGCAAAUCCCAAAAAUAACGUCCCAGUUCGGAUUGUAGUCUGCAACCCGACUACAUGAAGCUGGAAUCGCUAGUAAUCGCGGAUCAGAAUGCCGCGGUGAAUACGUUCCCGGGUCUUGUACACACCGCCCGUCAAGCCAUGGGAGCCGGGGGUGCCUGAAGGCCGUGACCGCGAGGAGCGGCCUAGGGUAAAACUGGUGACUGGGGCUAAGUCGUAACAAGGUAGCCA